This 760-nucleotide ribosomal RNA is filed under the name uncultured Eikenella sp. Its description in RNAcentral is "bacterial SSU rRNA". It matches the Rfam family "Bacterial small subunit ribosomal RNA", at positions 28 to 776 of the family's 1533-position model. Lineage: Bacteria; Pseudomonadati; Pseudomonadota; Betaproteobacteria; Neisseriales; Neisseriaceae. The record is from RNAcentral.
AUUGAACGCUGGCGGCAUGCUUUACACAUGCAAGUCGAACGGCAGCGGGGUAGUGCUUGCACUACUGUCCGGCGAGUGGCGAACGGGUGAGUAAUAUAUCGGAACGUACCGAGUAAUGGGGGAUAACCAAUCGAAAGAUUGGCUAAUACCGCAUACGUCCUAAGGGAGAAAGCGGGGGAUCGCAAGACCUCGCGUUAUUCGAGCGGCCGAUAACUGAUUAGCUAGUUGGUGGGGUAAAGGCCUACCAAGGCGACGAUCAGUAGCGGGUCUGAGAGGACGAUCCGCCACACUGGGACUGAGACACGGCCCAGACUCCUACGGGAGGCAGCAGUGGGGAAUUUUGGACAAUGGGGGCAACCCUGAUCCAGCCAUGCCGCGUGUAUGAAGAAGGCCUUCGGGCUGUAAAGUACUUUUGUUAGGGAAGAAAAGGGAAGUGCUAAUACCACUUUUUGCUGACGGUACCUAAAGAAUAAGCACCGGCUAACUACGUGCCAGCAGCCGCGGUAAUACGUAGGGUGCGAGCGUUAAUCGGAAUUACUGGGCGUAAAGCGAGCGCAGACGGUUAUUUAAGCAGGAUGUGAAAUCCCCGGGCUUAACCUGGGAACUGCGUUCUGAACUGGAUAGCUAGAGUGUGUCAGAGGGGGGUAGAAUUCCACGUGUAGCAGUGAAAUGCGUAGAGAUGUGGAGGAAUACCGAUGGCGAAGGCAGCCCCCUGGGAUAACACUGACGUUCAUGCUCGAAAGCGUGGGUAGCAAACAGG